AGGCUGCAGAGAAACAGGAACGUUUAUACACUAUUGUUGAAACUGCAAAUUAGUUCAGCCAUUGUGGAAAGCAGUUUGGAGAUUUCUCAAAGAACUUAAAACAGAGCUGCGAUUUGAUCCAGCAAUCCCACUACUG
This is a long non-coding RNA of Sapajus apella (tufted capuchin), 136 nucleotides long. RefSeq lists it as uncharacterized. The transcript has 3 exons. Lineage: Eukaryota; Metazoa; Chordata; Mammalia; Primates; Cebidae. The record is from RefSeq and is a predicted model, not a curated record.